Hyla sarda is the source of this 725-nucleotide long non-coding RNA. RefSeq lists it as uncharacterized. Lineage: Eukaryota; Metazoa; Chordata; Amphibia; Anura; Hylidae. The record is from RefSeq and is a predicted model, not a curated record. The transcript is spliced from 4 exons.
GUCAUGUGACAGGAGUGGGCGGAGCUGAGCAGUGUAGAGAAGCUUGGUAAUGUCAAAGGUGACAUUACAGGAGGUUUCUUACAUUGGCCCUGAUUUACUAAGAGUGUUGUCUUUAUAGAUGCGACCAUCAUCUCCUUCUCCUGAAUGAUCCCCCAAGGAUGGACAAGGACAGGAAUGAGAUGACUAAGAGAAUAUUACACUUCACCUUGGAGAUCCUCCACCUGCUUACCGGAGAGAUGGAGUCAUUGAUAGAAAUCCACCCGAGAGGUGUCCCCGCCCUCUGUAUUCCCAGGACUGUCCAGAGGGAAAUGUCCCAGAGAACCAUCAGAUUCUCCUGGAAGCUGUGAUGUCACCGGAUGGGGCGGGGCCUAUAGAGGAAGGACUGUCUAAUAUAUUCUGACUGCAGACUGGAGCUCCACUCUGGACAGGAAACAUGUGACCUCCACUCAAAGUUUUUUUUUUUUUUUAACCAACUUUAUUGUAACAAACAAUAGACACAAUAAUUCUGAGACCUUUUUGCUGAUUUCUUCUUGUUAACCUCUUAAUGCCUCUUCCUGUUUGGUCCAUUUGUCUGAUUGGACCGGUUUCCCUUCAUGUGGUAAUAAUUCUGACACUUUUCCAGAUCCGAUCGAUUAUGAGAAGGUUUUUAUUUCGUGAUUUAUUGUACUUUAUAUCAGGGGUAAAUUUGGUUGAUACAUUUAUCGUUUUUUUGUGAUAAAAUCCAA